This 301-nucleotide ribosomal RNA is filed under the name uncultured bacterium. Its description in RNAcentral is "partial 16S ribosomal RNA". It matches the Rfam family "Bacterial small subunit ribosomal RNA", at positions 509 to 807 of the family's 1533-position model. The record is from RNAcentral.
CAGUAGCCGCGGGAAUACGGAGGGUGCAAGCGUUAUCCGGAUUCACUGGGUUUAAAGGGUGCGUAGGCGGGCAGGUAAGUCAGUGGUGAAAUCUUCGAGCUUAACUCGGGAACUGCCGUUGAUACUAUCUGUCUUGAAUAACGUUGAGGUGAGCGGAAUAUGUCAUGUAGCGGUGAAAUGCUUAGAUAUGACAUAGAACACCGAUUGCGAAGGCAGCUCACUAAACGCUCAUUGACGCUGAGGCACGAAAGCGUGGAGAUCAAACAGGAUUAGAUACCCCGGUAGUCCAUGUCUCUUAUAC